RNAcentral lists this small nuclear RNA (156 nucleotides) under Trialeurodes vaporariorum (greenhouse whitefly). RNAcentral's name for it is "U12 minor spliceosomal RNA". It matches the Rfam family "U12 minor spliceosomal RNA". From Rfam's summary of the family: Although the U12 sequence is very divergent from that of U2, the two are functionally analogous. The record is from RNAcentral. Lineage: Eukaryota; Metazoa; Arthropoda; Insecta; Hemiptera; Aleyrodidae.
GUGCCUUAAACUAAUGAGUAAGGAAAAUACUGAGUCCUGGUGAUGCUUGACUCUAUAAAAUAAACAUUAGUUAUUAAUUUUUGAAAGGGCACAGGUCGUCCCCCAUAGGGUGUUUGUCUACUUUUGCAAGUGCCCUGGGUGAUAGCGAUCUGCCCU